GUACUUGCUCCUUCGGUACAUAUAGUAAAACUAAAACGGCACAUAGAAGAUUAGCAUGGCCCUUGCGAAAGAAUGACACACAAAAUAGUGAAGCCAUAGUUAAUUUA
Molecule: small nuclear RNA, 107 nt
Organism: Schistocerca gregaria
Lineage: Eukaryota; Metazoa; Arthropoda; Insecta; Orthoptera; Acrididae
Source: RefSeq, a predicted model, not a curated record